Molecule: ribosomal RNA, 482 nt
Filed under: uncultured Bacillus sp.
Lineage: Bacteria; Bacillati; Bacillota; Bacilli; Caryophanales; Bacillaceae
Description: bacterial SSU rRNA
Rfam family: Bacterial small subunit ribosomal RNA
Source: RNAcentral
GUGAGUGAUGAAGGUUUUCGGAUCGUAAAGCUCUGUUGUUAGGGAAGAACAAGUGCCGUUCAAAUAGGGCGGCACCUUGACGGUACCUAACCAGAAAGCCACGGCUAACUACGUGCCAGCAGCCGCGGUAAUACGUAGGUGGCAAGCGUUGUCCGGAAUUAUUGGGCGUAAAGGGCUCGCAGGCGGUUUCUUAAGUCUGAUGUGAAACCCCCCGGCUCAACCCGGGGAGGGUCAUUGGAAACUGGGGAACUUGAGUGCAGAAGAGGAGAGUGGAAUUCCACGUGUAGCGGUGAAAUGCGUAGAGAUGUGGAGGAACACCAGUGGCGAAGGCGACUCUCUGGUCUGUAACUGACGCUGAGGAGCGAAAGCGUGGGGAGCGAACAGGAUUAGAUACCCUGGUAGUCCACGCCGUAAACAAUGAGUGCUAAGUGUUAGGGGGUUUCCGCCCCUUAGUGCUGCAGCUAACGCAUUAACCACUCCGC